UACCGCCACAAAAAACUUAUCCAC
Molecule: non-coding RNA, 24 nt
Filed under: Arabidopsis thaliana (thale cress)
Lineage: Eukaryota; Viridiplantae; Streptophyta; Magnoliopsida; Brassicales; Brassicaceae
Source: RNAcentral